GCGGCGUGCCUAACACAUGCAAGUCGAGCGAGAAAGCCCGCAAGGGUGAGUAAAGCGGCGCACGGGUGCGUAACACGUGGGUAAUCUGCCCAGGAGUUCGGGAUAACUCGCCGAAAGGCGUGCUAAUACCGGAUAAGACCACGGGAGCUUCGGCUCCUGCGGGAAAAGGUGGCCUCUGUAUACAAGCUAUCACUCCUGGAUGAGCCCGCGGCCCAUCAGCUCGUUGGCGGGGUAACGGCCCACCAAGGCUACGACGGGUAGCUGGUCUGAGAGGACGAUCAGCCACACUGGAACUGAGACACGGUCCAGACUCCUACGGGAGGCAGCAGUGGGGAAUCUUGCGCAAUGGGCGAAAGCCUGACGCAGCAACGCCGCGUGUGUGAUGAAGGUCUUCGGAUCGUAAAGCACUGUCGCGAGGGACGAAUAAGGACUGGGUGAACAAUCCAGGACGAUGACGGUACCUCGAGAGGAAGCACCGGCUAACUCUGUGCCAGCAGCCGCGGUAAUACAGAGGGUGCAAGCGUUGUUCGGAAUUAUUGGGCGUAAAGCGCGUGUAGGCGGCUCUUCAAGUCAGGUGUGAAAGCCCUCGGCUUAACCGAGGAAGUGCGCCUGAAACUGUGGAGCUUGAGUACCGGAGAGGGUGGCGGAAUUCCCGGUGUAGAGGUGAAAUUCGUAGAUAUCGGGAGGAACACCAGUGGCGAAGGCGGCCACCUGGACGGCUACUGACGCUGAGACGCGAAAGCGUGGGGAGCAAACAGGAUUAGAUACCCUGGUAGUCCACGCUGUAAACGAUGAGCGCUAGGUGUUGCGGGUGUUGACCCCUGCAGUGCCGCAGCUAACGCAUUAAGCGCUCCGCCUGGG
This 861-nucleotide ribosomal RNA is filed under the name uncultured bacterium. Its description in RNAcentral is "bacterial SSU rRNA". It matches the Rfam family "Bacterial small subunit ribosomal RNA", at positions 39 to 877 of the family's 1533-position model. The record is from RNAcentral.